UACGUAGGCAGCAAGCGUUGUUCGGAAUUGCUGGGCGUAAAGAGUGUGUAGGCGGUGCUCCAAGUCUGGUGUGAAAUCUCCCGGCUCAACUGGGAGGGUGCAUUAGAAACUGGAAUGCUAGAGGAUGGGAGAGGUAAGCGGAAUUCCUGGUGUAGCGGUGAAAUGCGUAGAUAUCAGGAGGAACGCCUGUGGUGUAGACAGCUUACUGGACCAUUUCUGACGCUGAGACACGAAAGCGUGGGUAGCAAACAGG
Molecule: ribosomal RNA, 253 nt
Filed under: uncultured bacterium
Lineage: Bacteria
Description: partial 16S ribosomal RNA
Rfam family: Bacterial small subunit ribosomal RNA
Source: RNAcentral